AAAAAGGGCAUGGCUUACGGGCCCGAUUAUGGCCGAGCUGUGAGUCGUCGGCGGUCGCUUGCGACACGUGCUGUGCCAGCAGUUCGGUCCUGGUCGAGCUCCCAUAGUGCCUGUUCUCGGUGUAAGAGCUGGUCAUCUCUCCGACCCGUCUUGAAACACGGACCAAGGAGUUUAUCGUGUGCGCGAGUCAUUGGGCGUUGAAAACCCAAAGGCGCAAUGAAAGUGAAGUGCCACGCAAGUGGCUGAUGUGCGAUGUUGUGUUCCACGGAACACAACCGCAGCAUGGCCCCAUCCUGGCUGCUUGCAGCGGGGUGGAGGAAGAGCGUGCGCGAUGAGACCCGAAAGAUGGUGAACUAUUCCUGAGCAGGAUGAAGCCAGAGGAAACUCUGGUGGAAGUCCGAAGCGAUUCUGACGUGCAAAUCGAUCGUCUGACUUGGGUAUAGG
Molecule: ribosomal RNA, 444 nt
Filed under: Pratylenchus zeae
Lineage: Eukaryota; Metazoa; Nematoda; Chromadorea; Rhabditida; Pratylenchidae
Description: eukaryotic LSU rRNA
Rfam family: Eukaryotic large subunit ribosomal RNA
Source: RNAcentral